UGGCCUACGGGACGCAGCAGUGAGGAAUAUUGGUCAAUGGCCGGAAGGCUGAACCAGCCAAGCCGCGUGAGGGAGGAAGGCGCAGAGCGUCGCAGACCUCUUUUGCCGGGGGACAAAAGGCCGGACUCGUCCGGUCCUGAGGGUACCCGGAGAAAAAGCAUCGGCUAACUCCGUGCCAGCAGCCGCGGUAAUACGUAGGGGGCAAGCGUUAUCCGGAUUUAUUGGGUUUAAAGGGUGCGCAGGCGGACCAUCAAGUCAGCGGUAAAAUCGUGGGGCCCAACCCCAUCCCGCCGUUGAAACUGGCG
This 305-nucleotide ribosomal RNA is filed under the name uncultured bacterium. Its description in RNAcentral is "bacterial SSU rRNA". It matches the Rfam family "Bacterial small subunit ribosomal RNA", at positions 335 to 638 of the family's 1533-position model. The record is from RNAcentral.